UUAGAAAUUUCUUCUCGGGGUUCUCAACUUAUUGCUACAGGAAUGAGCCCCGCAAUGUGCGUGCUCAUCGCCGCAAAGGUCGCCCGGUGCAGUCGCCGGUGAGUAGGCUCAGAGACCGGUACGAAUAUUCUUUAGAAACAUCUAUUCAUUUUCUUAAAGUCUGUCGUAUUCCUUCUUUGCUACAUUAAUUUCUCUUGCGUGCAUCAAGUGGGAUACACUUGGAAAAAUAAAUAACCGGAAAGAGCGGAUGCCUUAAGUUAAAUUCCCUUUAAUUCAAUAGUAUUAGAAUCGUAUUCAAAAAUUGUGACAUCAAUUAUCAGUGAGAGUCUAAUGAAAAAAUAAGGGGACAAUUUUCAUCAUCUUCAGCCAAAGAAAAAGUUAUCUCCCAUUUCCAUUCAAUUUGCAAUUACAUAUUUACAUUGAUCCAUUUGGUAUCAUGAACAGAGUUUUGGCAAGGAUCUAACUUUGCCUGAAUUACAUAAUCUUCGUUUAGUUACAUUUGGCAUCUGGGGUUGCAUCACUGUGCAAAGCUUCUCCAGUUCUGCUACUCUACGCUGCCUUUGUUGCAAAUGCAUUCCAGUUUCUCUUGAAUGUUCAUGCUUUCUUUCAAAAGGAAGGACUGGCUCUUUAUUGUCUUCUCCACAGCUCAUAUUUUUAUUAGUAGAGCUGCAAAAUCGAAUUUCAUCUACCCUUUUGAGGGAGUACAAGUAAUUGCUAAUUGAGCUACUGUGCCUGGAUUGCUGACCUAUGAAAACUUGUAAUGAUGUACUUGAUGGAAACUUGGAGUUUUGAGCUAGGUGUUGUAAAGUUUCGGCUGAGAGUUUCUCAUGAUUCAGUCCACAACAUAACCUCAUCUUUUCCUCUUCACAUAAUUGAGUGUGAACCUCAAGAUAUAGGUCAACGGCUUGGUAGAGUCUGUCACUAGAUUCUCUUGCAGAAUCUGGAAGCACCGAUACUAAUGCUCCAAAUGCGGAAGGUUUCAGAAGAAAAUCUGGUGCUACUUCCACAAGGUACGAAUCCAUCAAGCUACCAACCUUUUUCAAUUGACUUGGGGUCAUCCAACCUUGACUGAGAUAUGCUUCUGCAAGCCUCAAAACCAAAUUCACGUCAUACAUAUAGUGCUUCCCAGGUGGAGAUGGAACAAGCAGAUGAUCCAAAGUUGCUUGAUCUAACUGUGAACUUAUCAGUCUCUCCAACUUGAUUUUGUAGCAUUUGCUUAUUCUUUUCAAACUUGAGACGAUUCGAAGAACAUCAAAUAAGCCCUUGCAAGAAAGACAGCUCCUAUCAAGUAACAAAAGGAGACUGAUUACCUUCUCCAUGAUUUGGCGCUUCUCAGCCAGUCCAGUGCUGAGAAGUCUUGCUUUCAGGUAAAAAAUGAGGAACUUAAAAAUGCUAGCGUGGUCUAAUUUCUGGGAUGCCAUCAUCCUUAUCACUUUGUCGAGCAAAAUGAUAUUCAAGAACAAGAGAUCUUCAAACCACCAACUUGCUGGGGAGCAGUUGUUUCUCGUACUACAAGUGCUGCUUAUGUCAGAGGAAAACUGACAACUGAAAUUCUCUGAGGAACAUCUGAAUGGGCUUGCAACAGUAGGCAAAGCAACCCUUCCUAUAAGGGAAUCUAAUACUUUAUCAAGGACAAAUGAAGAAUUUGCUGCAGGAAAUAAAUCUUGGCAUUGUUUUAGAGCCACUAGGAGCUCAGACCAAGUCCAAUGAUUAAUCCCCCUAAGAGAUUUUUCUGUUUGGUCUACUAAGUUGGUUGUUGCAGAGCUAUUACUGCCCAUUUCCAUGAAAUAAGCAGCACAGUUCAGUAGGACUGUAUUUGAGGGAAUUAUCUCAAUUGCGCCAUUAUUGUAGCAAAACCUUGCCACGAGCUCAAAACCACUGGCACCUCCAGGAAAGUCUUGAAAUACCACUUUUAGUAGUCUUGCGCGAUCCGUGAAUUUACCGAAUAAUUUCCUGAAUCUUCCUGAGAAACAUGCGAGGACUUUCUUGUCCACCACGAAAAUCUCAUCGCCAUUGACCUCUACUUCAAGCUCACAGCCAACUUCCAUUUGUUCAAAUCCAAAGUUCAUGCAACUGAAAAGGUUCUUUUGCCUUUAAAUCUGCUGUUGCUUGGUCAAUGUGUACAGAGAGAAGAGGCAGUGUUUUUAAAUACUUUAUCAACAGGAGAUAGCAGACAAUUUCAAGGAAAUGGGAACUGAAAUAUAGAACUAAGACAUUCAUGGGAAAAGCUUUUUCAACAGUCAAAUACAUAAAAUAAUGUUUGAAAGAAAAAGCUGUGUAAAGACUCUCAUUAAAUGCAAACUGAAAAACGAUGGGAGCUGUAAUGAACGAUUCUUGGGACAUUUCUCUUUCUU
Molecule: unclassified non-coding RNA, 2354 nt
Filed under: Hevea brasiliensis (rubber tree)
Lineage: Eukaryota; Viridiplantae; Streptophyta; Magnoliopsida; Malpighiales; Euphorbiaceae
Source: RNAcentral